UGUCGCCAUCUCCUCCGCCAGCACCCAGUCCCGGCCGCCGAUUGGCGCCACCAUGACGCUGCUCGUCUCCGCGUACUCCUGAUUUCGCGGCUAACCUAAGACGCCCAAUGCCUCCACCUGGCCGAAAAGAAGCCGUCCGCUCCAAGGUGCUCGGCGGGGAUUCGUUCGGGCACUCAUUCAUCUCCAACCGGAAGAGCUGGAGAGUACAAGGUGCGUGCCGUGGCCGAGGUGUGCUCUGGCUGUAUGUGCUGCGGUGGUGAAGCUUGCUGCUGCAGUAAGGGAACCACAUGCGAGUGAGCUCGAGGGCACCUAAGUGCAAUUUUUUUACCGAUGACUCUUGGCGUUGGAUUCGCCAUGGUUUAUCCACUAAUGGUUGCUUUGUUUUCUUCGUUAUUGUGAUACUGCUUGUCUGCUUGCAUGGAGGCAAUUCGAAGGACAUCUAUUGUCUAUGACUCUAUGUGCCAAGUUCAUAGUCUGAACCGAAAUGUCAUUCUUAUUUUAUCAUGAUACUCUUCUUGUACAUUUCUCUAAUUAUUAAUCGCAUGGUGCUAUCUUUACAUGUUUGUGCUUGCACGGACUAAGCUAUCUCUCUACAGUUGUCAAAUCGAUCUUCAAAAUCUUUUCGUCUCAGCCUCUGCUUUUCUUGUAGAUCAUGCUUCAGAUAAGUGGUUAUGUUGACCAAGACACCAGGGGAAUGGUAAAUUUGCUUUCCAUGUUUUGGAGUUGGAUACCUGCGAGAUACCAAAACAAAAGGCAAGAUAUUCUUAAAAUUCUCAUGCCCUGACACAUGUAUUCUAAUUGGGGAUAUCAACACACAGUUCCACAUUUUUAAGGUAUAUUGGAUUUGGGGCAUUCCUGUAGAGGUUGAUGGCUCCAAAGUGUACGUCCUUUACCUGGACACUGAAGGAUGAUGAAGGAUUUGAAAGCAAUGGAAAAUCGAAUGUACUCCGUAUAUGAUGAUAGUAUGUGCUCAUGAUAUACAAACUGAACAACACGUUGAACAUGAAGGUCUUCUGGGAGAGGGAGAAACCCACAUCCUGAGUUAGAAAAAUAAAGUGCUGGAAAUUGUAUCUUCUUGGAAAAACGAUGAGGACGAGACCUACGGUGGCAAUCAACCUGAAAACACUACUGUUCAUUCGCUCUCUAUAACCUGAUGCAAUCUCCUGAGACAAAGGCACUUGGCUUUGCUGCAAGAUUUAGAUCUUCCUAUCUAUUUGCCUACGUAUUUGGUAUACUUUUCACCCUCUCACAUUUCCGCUUCCACAAAACAAAAUCUGAUGUUGAAUACUACAAUUUUCAAGGUAUCGGGAUGUACAAUACCCAGAUAUUGGUGCCACAGGAGGCCUAUCACAUUGGAUGUUCUUCCUAUGAUGCCAGACGGU
Lolium perenne is the source of this 1382-nucleotide non-coding RNA. The record is from RefSeq and is a predicted model, not a curated record. NCBI's taxonomy places the organism in Eukaryota, Viridiplantae, Streptophyta, Magnoliopsida, Poales, Poaceae.